AUGAGUUUUCUUUUAAGGGUCGUCAGAGACUAUGACGUUGAUAGGCUACAGGUAUAAAACUGGUAACAGUAAAGCCGAGUAGUACUAAUUGCCCGUAUGCUUUAAUUUU
This 109-nucleotide ribosomal RNA is filed under the name Bacteroidota bacterium. RNAcentral's name for it is "partial 23S ribosomal RNA". It matches the Rfam family "Bacterial large subunit ribosomal RNA", at positions 2815 to 2925 of the family's 2925-position model. Lineage: Bacteria; Pseudomonadati; Bacteroidota. The record is from RNAcentral.